Molecule: ribosomal RNA, 607 nt
Filed under: uncultured Actinomycetes bacterium
Lineage: Bacteria; Bacillati; Actinomycetota; Actinomycetes
Description: uncultured actinobacterium partial 16S ribosomal RNA
Source: RNAcentral
UUGGGAGCUCUCCCAUAUGGUCGACCUGCAGGCGGCCGCGAAUUCACUAGUGAUUCGUAUUACCGCGGCUGCUGGCACGUAGUUGGCCGGUGCUUCUUCUACGGGUACCGUCAUUAUCGUCCCCGUCGAAAGAGUUUUACAACCCUAAGGCCUUCGUCACUCACGCGGCAUGGCUGGAUCAGGCUUGCGCCCAUUGUCCAAUAUUCCCCACUGCUGCCUCCCGUAGGAGUCUGGGCCGUGUCUCAGUCCCAGUGUGGCUGGUCGUCCUCUCAGACCAGCUACCCGUCGGAGCCUUGGUAGGCCGUUACCCCACCAACAAGCUGAUAGGCCGCGAGCCCCUCCCGAAGCGGAAUCCAUUUCCUCUCCGAGCCAUGCGACUCAGAGGGGGUAUCCGGUAUUAGCACCGGUUUCCCGGUGUUAUCCCAGUCUUCGGGGCAGGUUGCUCACGUGUUACUCACCCGUUCGCCGCUAGGUCUUCCCUUGUCUUGCGACAAGUUGGACCCCGCUCGACUUGCAUGUGUUAAGCACGCCGCCAGCGUUCGUCCUGAGCCAUGAUCAAACUCUAAUCGAAUUCCCGCGGCCGCCAUGGCGGCCGGGAGCAUGCGAC